RNAcentral lists this ribosomal RNA (429 nucleotides) under uncultured bacterium. Its description in RNAcentral is "bacterial SSU rRNA". It matches the Rfam family "Bacterial small subunit ribosomal RNA", at positions 355 to 776 of the family's 1533-position model. The record is from RNAcentral. RNAcentral also lists the same sequence under 2 other names.
UAGGGAAUCUUCCACAAUGGACGAAAGUCUGAUGGAGCAACGCCGCGUGAGUGAAGAAGGUUUUCGGAUCGUAAAACUCUGUUGUUGGAGAAGAACGUAUUUGAUAGUAACUGAUCAGGUAGUGACGGUAUCCAACCAGAAAGCCACGGCUAACUACGUGCCAGCAGCCGCGGUAAUACGUAGGUGGCAAGCGUUGUCCGGAUUUAUUGGGCGUAAAGCGAGCGCAGGCGGUUUCUUAAGUCUGAUGUGAAAGCCUUCGGCUCAACCGAAGAAGUGCAUCGGAAACUGGGAAACUUGAGUGCAGAAGAGGACAGUGGAACUCCAUGUGUAGCGGUGAAAUGCGUAGAUAUAUGGAAGAACACCAGUGGCGAAGGCGGCUGUCUGGUCUGUAACUGACGCUGAGGCUCGAAAGCAUGGGUAGCAAACAGG